GUGUAGCAAGGCUAAUAGCAGGUGGCUAACUCUAACUUUAGCUUGCAUAUUACAUGGUGCUUCACUGUUCACUCGGCGUGACCGAGACCAGCACAGCGGGGAACAUCGUGAAGUGGGUUGAACUGAAACUUGUUGACUUAUUGUGUAUUUCACAAACUGGUUUAUUUACCGUUGAGGCGGACCACUCUCCUCCUUUGGCAUUCCUGAGCUGCCUUCUUCAGAUGCCUCACUCUGCUGUGCUGUGAGGUAGUUAGUGGAUGAAGAUUGUCAUGAGGUCGUUGCGCCAUCUACAGGAUAAGUCGGAGAACUCUUCAAAUGGUGGAACAUUUUCGAAAUGAACUGAAUCUUAUUCUCCGCAUUUUAUUUCUGAAAAUAUCUGCGAGUUUUGGCCGAAUACCGAUUAGUCACAAACGGGCUAAAAUCGGCCGAUUUAAUCGGCUCGCAUUAGCGGAUUGCAAUGCUUGUAAAAAAGCUAAUUAUGAUAUAAGCUUUCAUCAUGUCUCAAAAGACAAUCGUGUCCGAGAGCUGAAUGGCUCCUAUGUUACCUGCUACUUCUACUACACCGGCAACGUUAGGCUGCAGGCUAACUCGUGGAGAAGUGUGCAGAGCAGCGCUGUCUCCACCUACGACUCAGAGGUGAAUUGCUAAUGAGCUACUAGAGCUCUGCAGCAGAAAAGCUAUUGAAAACGACACAGGUAACAUGAUUUUUGCUAAAAACAGUUAGAGGACCGUUGAGAACACUUUAAGUCACAUAUGUCAGAGUCAAGGCCCGCGGGCCACAUCUGGCCCGCGAGAAGGUUUUUUACGGCCCCUGGGAUGAUCUUGAUUUAUUAUUAGAACCGGCCCGCAGACCGCAGCAAGCCGGCAGCCCGCAGAUCUUUUACACGCACCAAUACUACAUUUCCCACAAUGCAACGGUGACGCACCGAGCAGUAGGCUCAUCCAGGCUGCUCAAACGUUGUCUAUGUUUGGCAGCACAUACCUGUGUGAACAACUGUUUUCUUUGAUGAACCUGAACAAAACAUCACACAGAAGUCGACUUACUGCUGAACACCUUCACUCAAUUCUGAGGAUUUCCUCAGCUCAGAGCCUUACCCCGAACAUUGAUGAACUUGUGGAAAUGAUGGGACACCACCAAGUAUCACCCUCAACCUCAAACAAGUGAACAUUACUGUGCAAUCACAUAUUUAGAGUUUUUACUCAUUUCAAGUUUAAAAGUUAAAGUUUAAUAUUUGUUUUCACUGCAUGUUACUUCUCCUUGAAGAAAGUGUUGUUUUUGAUUAAUAGAUUUUUGCACUUUAUUUUAUUGUAUUUCAAUCCAAUUAUAUUUUAAAAAUAUUUCAGUUGAGUGGAUGAUAGAAAAUUGCUAUUAUUAUUUUUUUCUUUGAAGUAAAUUUAGCCCACUUUUGCUAAAAUAGAAAAUAUAGGCUACUGAUGGUGCCUUGAAUAAUACCGGUUUCUUUCAUUUAAUGUUCAUGUUAUGGGGAUUUUUAUAUAAAGGAAAUUUGUCUUUUGUGUCUGUUGAAAAUUAAAGAUUACUGACAGAGCCAUAAGAAAAUAUUGCUUUAUUUAGCUGAUCAUAUUGGAAUAUAUUUGUUAGGUUUUCAGUAGGUUCAAUUAGGUUCACUAGACUAUAUGCGUCAUUUAAAAAAUUUUCAAUGAACAUUCGAUCAGUCCGGCCCUCGGCUUGUAGCUAAAUUUUUUAUUUGGCCCUCCGUCCAUUUGACUUUGACACCCCUGCUUUAAGUAGUAAAAAGAAAAAACAAUCGGAGUGGGACUUUAUGAAGGGACUAUCAGUGCAGUGGUGUGCACUCCACCUGCUUUUGCUCUCUAUACCUACAGUUUUUUCCUACAUACACAAACGCUGGUGCAUCGGUCGUUAAACUUGAUCGGGAACUGCCCUGAGAAGUCGAAUGAAAAAAUAUGUAUAAGCACAGACUAUGACUGUGACUCUGCAGCCCUGGCUUUAUUCUUGUCUUUCUCUGUUGAUGCUAAAAUCAGAUAAACCGAUAGCUCAUCCUGACAGUCUAACUCUUAGCAGAGUUCAUACGCAGAAAAAUCAGUGCUCAAGAGAGCUUUGUGCUUAUUAUCUUCCCCUCACAGGUCAGCCUGUGCUGAUCCAUUUUCCUUCUGAUGCAACCAAAUGUUAAAUGGCCUGCAAUCAAUAUCCAUUAGAGGAAGGCCAUGUGCAUUGGAUUGUUUUCCCUAUUCUUCACUGGGCCUAAUUUAAACUCAAAUAUCUUUAAACAGAUGGAGGAUGUGUCUGGGCAUGCCUGCAUGCAGCAUAUGGCGCAUGGGUGAUAAAAAAUAAAAAAAUUAAAAUAACUUGCUAUGAGCAUAUUAAUACUUAACAGGCCUUGUUGAUACUAAUGUUUCUACUCAGUGCUCAAAUACAAAGGCUGGGUUGCAAAUAGCAGAUGUAAGAAAAUAACUGUAAUGUAUAAUUUUAGGAAUCCCAGCUGAGGGUUGUGUUUUGUGUUUAAAUUUUUAUUCCAAGUCACAGCUCUCGUGUAGCAAAAUUAUGUACAGAAAUAAAGUCAAAGUUUUAAGUGUUUAAUUUUAAUGCUAAUUCGGAAUUUAAAUUCCCCCAAGUGCCGCCUUAAAGAGGAAAUGUAGUGUUUGCUUUUUAGAAUUGCAUUAGAGUAAAAUAAUGGAGUCACAAAAACACGGUCCAAAAGCUGGGAUAACAAUACAUAUGGGAAAUUAUAGUCGUCUGUAAUCUAUUUUAUGCAUUUGGAGGACUUGAAUGAGUUUAAACAAAAUUUAAUCCACCGUGGAGUGGAAAUACUGAGCACCAAAAGAUGGAGCAGGUUAGUUAAAGACAUAACAGUUUAACAGCAGCUUCACUGCAGAGUAUGACACAGGAAAUCGACUCGCACCUACUGCAGCCAAUGAUAUGUGACAGUAUGCAAUAAAUGCGCCGGUGCUCUUAUAGGACAGGAUGAAGUGCACCUGCUCCCGCUCUGAGGUGCACUCACAUCUCUCCUGGGGAGGCUUUCGUGUGAGGGUGUAAUAUACUCUUGGCUGUUAGACCUCGCUGUGUAAAGCUGCAGUUGGUCAGCGUGAAAGAUGGUCAACUGCCUAGCGCGGGAACAAAUACACAGAAAUAGAGUCGUCAGAGUAACAUAUGCUUGAUGAACCAUUUAAAGCUCCUAUAAGGAGUUUUUUGACACUUAUGUAAGAGACUGAAAUUCAAAUUGAUGCAUUUUUAUGACAUCUCAAAGCAAACCAGACCAUCAGUAACAUGAUUGAUUAUGUUAAUAGUAUAAUUUUUUAGUGCCUGAAUAUAGUGUAAGGGAGGAGGUGUCAAGAAAUGGAAAAAAGCAGACAUGUUUUUAUUUGACAGAACAAGUUAGCACAAUGAGAUUUUUUGAGUCUCAAGUGUGUCAAGGGCAAGAUAAACCAAACGGACACACACCAAAAGUUCCCCAUGGCAGCUUUAAAGCUUUUCAUGAUUGAAAAAUUCAUCAAAACAACACAUCAUAACAUCUAGGGAUGGGAAUCCAGAACCGAUUCCAAAUGGUUAAACCCAUUGACAUCGUCUACAUUCUAUCUCAACAAUUCCCUGAACGAUUCCUUUCUUCUGGGUGCCUUAAAAACCGGUCUCGCAGAGAGCCAGUCUACGCGAACGAGAACAGAGACUUUAAGGAAAAAACCAUGGUGGACUGUGCAAAGAGUAGGCAGAAACGAACCAAAAUUUCAGAAUAAUGUACCUCAGUGUAAAAAUUACAAACAAAUUGAGAAUGUAGCAGUCUAUGGGGCAUAAUAUCAUUAAAAUAAAUUGCCGUAUAGGCUCAAAAACUCUAUUGUCACAGUUAAAAUCACUAAUUUAAUCCAAGUCUUACCAAAGCUAAUAAUAUACUAUGUUAAUUUAAUGACUGGGCAUACUAAUCUGUAUAUAAGAAUGCCAUAUGCAUUGACUAAAUCAAUAAAAAUCAUGGAUAAAUGAAGUUUCGACAAAGUUAACUCUCUUUUAUAAAUAAACAGAACAGAACUUCGAGCUGUUUGGUUGCUGACAGACCAGCCCUUGUUGCUCAGCUUUAGCCAAAUGAUCUGGCUUUCUAAAAAAAGGGUGAAAUUCCCAUUGCAAGAGGCUAAACCCUAGCCAGAAAUGUGUUGCCUAUGGAUAAUAAGCUUACUCACUAAUUAGCAAGUACAUUCUGUCGCUGUGAUGUCAGCAUGUGUGUUGUAUUUCUAAAGCUGAUUUGCCAACUCGAGUUCGUCUCAUCUGCUUCACGUCAGCUUAAUAGCGAUACCAGAGGCACGGUUUGUUAGCCCACAACUUUAGCAAACAAGAGCAGCAUCUGUUCUUGCAUAUUUAAUCAUUUAAAUGUAUGUUGUUGAAGUUUAGAGUCCCAGUUCUUUAUUUUAUAUUAUUUUUGGCCUAAUAUACAGAGAACUCAGUUCUGAAGGAAUUUUCCGGAAAAGACUGCAGCCAGUGCCGGGGUUGAUGUGCUGUUGAUAUAAUUAGGCAAUUAUCAGCAUAUCUGUUGGACAGCAGAGCUCAGGAGCUGGAAGCUUGGCCACAACAACUCAACUGCUGUGAAAAAAAUCUGUUCUUUUUGUUUGGUUGUUGUGAGAGUUUGUUGUUUUUUUUUAUUCGCUUUUCUGCUAAAUCACUGCAGAGCACAGCAGGAGCUCGCGUCGGUCAGUCAGACUUUUAAAAAACAAGUCAAGGAAGUCAUUAUAAUAAAAAAAAGCACUUAAAAUCAAAUGUAUAAUAACUCUCCUUCGUAUGACGGAGUAUUAGGGCCAGAAAAAAAAAUAAGACUUUGAGAUUAAAGUCAUUACUAACGAGAAUAAAGUCGUAAUAAAAUCACAAUUUAUGAGAAUAAAGUCGUAAAGUCUUACUCUUAUAAGUAGUGAUUUUAUUACGACUUUAUUCUCAUAAAUAAUGAUUUUAUUACGAUUUUAUUCUCGUAAUGAUAUUAUUAUGACUUAUUUUGAAAUUGGUUUUAUUACGACUUUUGUUUUGAAAAUGAUUUUAUUACGACUUAUUUCUUGUAAGUAAUUAAUUACGACUUUACUCUUAUAAGUAGUGAUUUUAUUACGACUUUAUUCUCAUAAAUAAUGAUUUAUGACGUAAUGAUAGUAAUGAUAUUAUUACGACUUAUUUUGAAAUUGGUUUUAUUACGACUUUUGUUUUGAAAAUGAUUUUAUUACGACUUAUUUCUCGUAAGUAAUUAAUUACGACUUUAUUCUUGUAAGUAAUGAUUUUAUUACAACUUUAUUCUCGUAAAUAAGGAUUUUAUUACGACUUAUUUUGAAAAUGGUUUUAUUACGACUUUUGUUUUGAAAAUGAUUUUAUUACGACUUAUUUCUCGUAAGUAAUUAAUUACGACUUUAUUCUUGUAAGUAAUGAUUUUAUUACAACUUUAUUCUCGUAAAUAAGGAUUUUAUUACGAUUUGAUUUUUGUAAGUAAUGAUUUUAUCACGACUUAGUUCUGGUUAGUGAUGACUUUAAUCUAAAAGUCUUCAUUAUUAUUUUUUCUCAAUGUGGUCCUAAUACUCUGUCGCACCCUCAAAUUAAAGUUAAAAGUCAUUGAAAAAAAAACAAUGCUGGGAUGGCUGUUUCCGUGUCUCUUGAGUGUGUGCUCUCAAGAAGAACAAGUCUACAGAAAAAUGGACACUGUGGGCCUGGAAAAGGAUUUUAUUUCUGUCCAGUUCCCUGAUCCGCUUCAGUCUGAGCUACCUCAUUGAAAAAACAAGAGUUAAAUCUCCUAAUUACAUCUUUACUUGACACGAGCGCUGCAUCAGUUUCUUGUAGGUUACAGGUCGCUUUUAAUCCACAGCUAGACUAAAAACGCAACAGUUUUGAUUUUUGACUCUUGAAAGUUUCUGUCCAGGUGCAUUGAUACUUUUACAAAAUAAUAUUUUAGUCGUUGUAACACCACAAGGACGAAAAACAAUAAAGCGUGAAUGUUCAUAGGAUCGAAAAAGUGAAAGAGCCGAAGCUUUAACUCUCGCUGUUACCUCGGAAUUAAAAGGUGUUGGAGGCCGAACAUCAAUACCGUUAACAAAAUAGUUCUUUUAAAUUAAAGAAACCAGUCCCAAACAGUUCUCCGCCAAGGUAAAGGUGGCUUGAAAGACAUCAUUGAAACAGGAUUGAUUCAUAUUCAUAGAGCGAGAGGGUGCAGUCAGAUAUUAAACGGCGCAGAGAAGCAUCAGGUCUGCUCUUUUGAGAAGAAUGAUCCGUAUGAAAGCAAACCUGCCUUAGUCAUACUCAAUGAACAGUUUUGACUCCGCUGUGAACAUUAUGCCCUUGGGUGGUGCUCCACUUGCUUCUCGUGAUGAGUCACCCUGCACGCCUGUUUCCAAACUGCCCUGCUUCUGCUCUUUCGUUCGACAAAGUCUACCCUUUGAAAAGAGCGGAGGGAAAAGACGAUGAAGGCCCUCCCGUUUAAGAUUUACUGAACUUAGCGUGCUCGCUUUUGAAUAAGUGUCGAGCCGUGGGACUUCCAGGUGAGGAGGCGAGCAGGUUCAUUCAGUGGGAGAGAAGGUUUGGCUUGGAUUAGACGUCACCCUUCGCCAGCCGCACAAAUACCCGCCAACUAUUAAUUAAUACAGCCUUCUAAAUCCUUUCAGUCCAUUUGAUUGGCAGCAGUCCAGGCCCAUUUUCCACACAGAAACUAGUAAGAAACAAAUAUUGCCAAGGCUUUAGCUGUAAUUGGCCCACCGUAAAGAAGGGGUGCAGGAUAUCCGUUAUGAAUUACACCACUCGCCUCUCACCGAUGGUAAGGAAUGCUUAAAGCUAAACUUGCUUAAUUAGAGUUUUGCAGCAACCUCUUUUCUUGGAAACUGUGUGUUGCCUCUCUUCGAAGAGCAAAGUCAUUAUUUUUGCUUUGACCUGUUUACGGAAGCACACAUGUUUUCGUGAAAGUUGAAAUCGCUUCAAUUAACUUUAUCAAACUGAAUUCUGCCCUUGCACCUGCUGCAUUUGAGCUUGUUGUGUCUUUUUCGUGUAACCUUAACUAGUUUAGUCUAAAAACCAAGGAGACAAUGAUGUUCCAAAUUGGCUUUGUUUUGAACCUUUCAGGAACUGUUGCAAUGAAGAGCGGCAUAAAGGUGGAGUUCUCCAUUCAGACGUAACGCUAAAGCAGCUUUUAUCGUUGAGUAGCUCAUGCUUUUGAACACGAGGUUCUAAUAGGUGAAUGAAGUACAAGAAAACAUCAACAAACCUUCAUCUUUUGAAUGGUUGCGCUUCAAUUGCGACUACCCUGACUCCAGGUCAGAGUAAAUGCAGUAGAGGAACAUUUUCCACUUGCAAACAAACAACCCACUUUGUAAGAUGAUGUGAUUUUUGUAUGGCAUAAGCAUUUGUACCUAACAAUACCUGUGAAGAAAGAAAAUAUGCAGGCUUAUCAUGUAACCACUGCAAGGGAGAAACAAGUAGGACAUUUCUACACAGAGCUUAGCCAAGCCAAACUCCGGACACUUUUAGACCAAAUCUGUUGUCAUCUGUUUUGACAUUAAAUGCCUUAAAGCUCCAAUGAGGAGAUUUUCACUCACGACAAAAUGGACAAACUUUACAGCAAUGCCUCUUUACGACCUACAAAAGCCAAUAAGACUUGGGUGACCACACGUCGUCUUUGACCUGGACAUGUCCUGUUUUUUGGGGGGUGUCUGGGUUUGUCCGGGGAAGUUUAUAAAAUUCUUUAAAUGUCUGCGAUUUUGUACAUAAGUUUUGAUUUUGUGUCACGUGGACUUGCUGAGUUAGAAGCGCGUAAAAGACACAUUUAAUCUGACCCAAAAACCUCUCAAAAUUAACUUUGUGUGACCCCGUCCCCACAUAGUCGUGUCCUUCUUUUUGGAAAGUCAGAAUAUGGUCACCCUAAACAAGACUAUUACCAGUAAGAUCGGCAACUUCUAGAAUUAAAUAUCUAUCUCAUGUCUGUAACAGCUGCAUGGGUGUAGGAGGAACAUUUUACUGAUUUGGCAAAAAGGCAUAAUGCUUUGAAGGUCAAUAAGGCUUACAACUGUAGAGAAUAUCAUAUAUAAACUUUGUCCACAGGGGGCGCCAAAAUCAACACAAGAGCUUUAAUAGAGUUUUUGCAAGGUUACUCAAAGUUUCCGUGUGGAACCUGUAGUUUCUGUCAAUUUUGGCACCACCUUUUGAUAAAGCAGUCAUAUUUAAAUAGUGAUUUUUGACAGUUAAAUGUACAAUUUUGUGGGAUUUAAAAAAAAUAGGGUUUUGUCAACUGCUUGGCUGAUUUUUAACCCCUUGCUUCUGCUUCGGGGUUAAAAGAAUAGAGUAUAAAAAUCUUCAAUCUCUGAAUGAUAGUCUUGUUUAAUCUUAAAUAUCAUGUAAAAGCAUCAGUGUGAAUGUCAGUUUAAAGGAAACCUUCAGCACACAAUGUUCCCUCUCACCAUCACUUAGUUUGGCUUCCUCAGAUUAAGUUCAGCUUUAUGACUACUAAAUCUGGAAUCAAAUCAACAAGAACAAAGUGAAGGACCAGAGUCAAGCCUCCUCUCUUGCCAAAUCAUCAAGAACUGGCCUCCAUAUUGAAGGACACCUGCAAACUUUGGCCAACCUUUGUGCCCAAUGCCAGAGUGCGGACGACUCGCCAGCAGGCUGCCGCUUCAUACAUCCCAAAACCUGUGCCAGGUUGUUUUUAGAGGCUUCUGCUUUCGUAUGUCCACUUUUUAAAGUUAAGUAAAAGUAAGCGCAAAACUGCGUAUGAACAUAUUCAAGCUGAGUUGUUGUAUUGAGGAUCUGUGACUUUAAAUUUCCACUUUUUAUAAGUAUCAUUUCAAUGAAAUCACCAGCUAAAACAAUCACUUAAUUUAAAAUGUUUUAAUAUGAUUCUCUGGUGUUCUCCUACCCACUGGCAAACCUGAGAACCUUCAUUCAAAAUAAUUAAACACAGAAUCACAGCUUAAGUAUUCGCCAAUCAAAAUGAUUGAUUUAAUAGCCGUCUCGCUGUUUUGACAAGCAUUAUGAUUCUGACUGGUAAAAUGCCACGCAGCGAGGAUUCUGAUUUCUAUAUUAAGGUUUGUGGGAAGGCUGCGAGGAGAAGAUACGAGUUCACAGGCGGUCCUGACAGAGAUGAGAUUAGGAACAGCACCCUAAACGUGUCAUUUAUGUAAGUAUGGGUGGUUACGUGUCAAUCAGCAUGAAUGGAGCUGGGGAUAUAGGCGACCAAUUCAGGGAAACGGUCUCUAAUAAAGGCGAAACUGCAAAUUGGACUCCUUCUUGUUAACAAGCUUGGAUAGUAUAAAUUUAACCUUUUGUAGAACAUAUUUCAUCUAGAGGUUUUGCUGCAUAUUACAGGUCAAAGAGUGGUCAAAUCAUCAUCAGAUACCUCAGCCUUGUGGUACAUUCAUUGCUGUUGCUAUUUCUCCUCAGGGUGGACGGGCUCUGAUGGAAAAGCUCAGGACUAGUGUUCAGGAAGCAGGGACUUUAAGGUAGAUGCCCUGAAGGGAGGGAAAGGGGUCAGAGCUGUUCUGAAAGGAGGUCUAAAGGUCGAGGGUACGAAAGAAAGUGUAGAUCUGGCUCCCUAUAGGAAACAGGAGUUGCUGUUGGCCUGCUCAUUAAGAAACUGGGGUCAGCAUAGGAGCUGACCUUGGUCUGAACAUCUGUUAGCCCAGAGACCAAUCUUGGGACAGGAAUUGCAGGAAGCCUACUUAAAGGGAUAUUCCAGCAUAAAAUUAAGUCGGGGUGAAACACACCGCAACACCAAGUUGGACACCCCCUCGAGAGAUGAAUGUUGCCAACCGCUUGCUUCUCUAGUUAUACCAACUUUAGUAACGACCGCAGGUAGCAAUACAAAGAGCCACGUGCUCAACCAAAAAGCCACUCUAUAGCUACAAAUAAUGCUCAGAACAGCACCUAACUUUAUCAACAGUAAAUAUAGGGUCCCAGCCACAGCACUAGCCACCAAACAUCUUUUAAGCUUUGCCUGAUUUCUUUAUCAGAGAGACUAAACACAACUCACCUGCUCUCUUCCAGCAGCCGCUUGUUUGGAGCAAGACCUUGGGCCAGUCCAUUACAGACUACAGUGGGGUGACACAGCUCAAGGAAGAACAUUUAUGAUCAUUUCUCCAUGAAAAUAACUACCACGUCUGCGGUGCAAAAUGAUUAAUAUGGUGAUUAUUACUUCAAGGAAAUGAUAAAGUAAUGAUCAUAAGUGUUCUUCCUUGAGCUGCGUCACCCCAUAGCAGUCGCUGAUGGACUCGUCUGAGGUCUCUCUACAAACAAGCUAAAAAGAUGUUUGGUGGCUAGUGCUAUGGCUGGGAUCCUAUAUGUACUGUUGUUGACGUUAGCAUUAUUUGUGGCUAUAAAGUGGCGUUUUGGUUGAGCACGUGGUUCUUGAGACCGCUUUGUAUUGCUAUCGUGCGGUGGUUACUAAAGUUGGUAUAACUAGAGACGCAAGCAAUCUGCAACAUUCAUCUCUCGAUGGGGUGUCUAACUUGGUGUUGCGGUGUGUUUCACCCUAACUUAAUUUCAUGACGGAAUAUCCCUUUAAAGCAGGACGAAGGGGUAGAUAGCACAAAUUAGCAUCCAUGUCUUCACUGCAAAUGAAACAGGUCCUAGUCAAUUGGACAGCAACAAAGCUCAACAACAAUUUGUGCUUUUAGGCAAAAGUUGUCAACUGCACUUAAAUUACUUUUUGUCCAGGCGAUUGAAAAAUAUUUUGAGUUUCUGCUUCCUGUUAGGCUACGAGCAUAAAGUACCAGCAAACACUGCAUUCCCAGAAGUCUCUGGGAUAUGAUAACAGCUUUUGUGUUCACUUGUAGAAGUCACCUUGGAAUCACAAACGCAGACAAUUUGAUUUGCAAAAUGAAAUACCCAAGGCCUCAGACAAACAAUUUCAUUUAUCAUUUCUCCUCCACAUUUAAAAAGGUACUUUUCUAACUGGAGCAAACACAUUAAUAACUGUAUUUUUCAAAUCGUCUUUAGGGUUUCCUUCAGCAGUUUUUCCCCUGCUGUGAGCUAAUCUGGGGGUGCAGAGUGAUGUUAUGUCCCACCAUAUGUGUUUGUUAUUUUUUUCUCUCAUUAAAUCUGGGCUGGGAGUCGAAGCCUGCAGUAUCUCAUGUUUUAUUUAUGCCAAAGAUGUGUCUGCUCUGCUCGUCUUCAGCUCAGGCUUUUUGAUCUUCUUUCAUUAGAGGAUGUUCAAUAUUUAUCAGUGCAGUUUCCUAUUAUUCUGCCCAUGGAUAGGUCCAACUCUUUUAGCGCCUCAGAGUCAGGCAGCUAUCAGGGUUUUCUCAUUGCACACAUUUGUUGAGGAAAUGAUACUUAUGCCCUUAAAACACUCUUUUUCUCCAAAGGAGGGCUUCAGAGAUCUCAGGCAUUUGACCCGACGUCUGUUGUAUGUUCUGACAGGGUUCAUUUUACAGCUAAAGGACAAUAUAAAACACAUUGCCAAUUCAAUCCCUCUUUAUUUCAAUCCCACCUCCAAACUCGAUGUAGAUUACUGAAACCAGUCCCAGGUCACCCUUAAGGAGUAUAAAACCCAAUAAUACUCAGAUUAAUGUAGAUUUAAUAGCUUUUUAUGAAUCAUUUUAGUGGUCAUUUUACUGACUACUCCAGAUGUGAGAAACCCAACUGGGUGCCCUUAACCUUCCCCUGCCUUUGGAUGAAAACAGUCCAUCUAAAAUGACAGGCAGUAAAUGGAGAAUGAAGCAAUCUCUGGCAAAUUAACAGCUUACAAUAAGAAAGAAAUGUUGUUUUUCAGCUUGUAAGAACCCCCCAAAAAAUCAAGCAAACAGAAAAAGUUUUUUUUUUUAUUGGCAAUUGGUAACAAAACAUUUAAAAGAUUCAAUGUGAAAGGGUUUAUAUGAAUGGCUUCUCAAUGUGUUAAAAAGAGAAAGGAGAUUAAAAAAACAAACAUCAAAUGGAUGUUAUUGUAGUUGACUAACAAUUUGUUUUUGCUCUUGCUACUCUUGCGAAUCAGUAAUCAGUUACAAAAUGUAUUGAUAAUUUUAUUGGUUGUCCCCUAACAUAACACAUAAAUGAAGAACUGACUGAUUAAUUAGACAGAUUUGUCACAUUUUAACAUAAUCGGCUAUGUAUUGGCUUUUUCCCAACAUGAAUUAACAACACUUAAAUUCCAAAACAAUCAUAGAUGACUGUUUUAAUAUUGUAUAUUUAUUUAUAUUUAUGAUUGAUAUAAAUAUUUAUUUAUACUUAGAACUGACAGUAAUAUCAACCAAAUUUAGCAGUUUAUAACUAAAUUACAAAAUCUGUGUCCUUCUGUAUGUUCCUUUAAAAUUCAUCUAUAACAUAUUACUGGCUAAGAUUAUCAUGGAUUUAGGAUUUUCAAACAUAUGGAAUAAUGAAUCUGUACAUGACUUUUUAUUUCAAAUUUUAACCACAAUAUUUGUCCUCAUAUUAUUUUUGCUCGAACAAAUUAAAAAGACUAAAUAAAAAAAUUUAAAAAACGAAAAAAAAAAAAGUGUCAUUUCGGUGUUAUAUAUCAGCUAUUGGCCCAUCUUCUCUCUCGCAAUCAGUGUCAGCAUAGGCUGAAAACUGACGGCCUCACGAAGCAAGUACAUUUUACAGUUCAAUGGUAUGUUGUACUGUUAUAUUUUGGAAAUAACAACACAUUAAUUUUAGGUUAAUCCCACUUUUUCCAGAGGUAUCUUGAAGAAAAAGUCUUUUGUUUAGGUUAAUAAUGAAUGUUAGAUUUUAUACACAUCAUUUUUAUGCUGUAGUUGGCAGAUAAUACAUCCAAAGUUGUCUUCUCCGACCCCACAUCAGGACCUCGGCUCUGUCUCCCCUGUUUUUUUGAGCCGCUGUGAGGCUGCCUCUCAUUGGUGCAAGCUGUUGCUAGUCAGGCUGCCAUGUUAGCAAUCAGACCAAGCUUGCCAGCUCGACAGUGGGGGCAUGCCCGGCUGAGGUCAAGCCUUUUAGCGAGUCGCUGUGGGGCGAAUGUAAAAUUGUGACCCCGUGGUGGGAUGUGAGUAGAGCGCUUUGUUCACCGCUUUUUAUGUCACUGGGACAGAGUGACCAUUUCUAAGGGCUGAAAAUACAGCUUGCGGUUUUGUUCUGCUGCAAAUUGGCAGAAGUAUAAAAGAAAAGCAAGGCAAGUAUAAAUCACAGCAGUUGUUUUUGGACGUAACUUUGGCUCUGCGCACUUAUUGUUUGUGCAGUGGUGUGAGUGUAUCUUGUGAAAUAGGUCACAGCAGCACAAAAUGAACACUUGAGAGCAAGAUUUACCCUUUUUUUUUCUCUCAAAGAACCCAGCUGUGAACAAUAAUUUUGCUCUACAAGCUUAAAAGACCCCAUAAAUACAGGACUGGAUAGAGGUUUAAGGAAGGUGAACACUUUCAAUCUUGGAGAAAAAGCUGUGUUUGUAAAGAAUUUUAAAUUCAAGGGUCCACUGUUCCUGGUCCAUUGUAGUUUAUGUAAUCAUAGUAAACUUUGUAUACUAAACUGUAUAAAAUGUGGGUGUAGUCACUAGGGCAUGACCGAUAUGGAUUUUUUGGGGCCAAUAAUGAUAACGUAUUAGGUGGGGGAAAAAUCCGAUUACCGAUUUUUUUUUAAUUUUUAUGAAGUUAUAAAUAUAUAUAUAUAUAUAUUAAGGCUGUCAAAGUUAACGCGUUAUUGUCGCGUUAACUCGAGUGACUUUUAUCGCCACUAAUUUUUUUGACGCACGAUUAACGCAAGCCUUAGCCUGGCUUGACCAAACUAUACACACACUGCGUGGAUAUUCUUGCCGUUGUAAAAGGGUAGAGGAACAGUUGGUGAGCUAUGUGAGCCUCGGGGCACUCCGUAGUUUCGCGAAUCAGGAAGUAGAGCAAUGACCGAUACCGCAGCAGACAUAAACAAAUUCACGUGAGCAGUAACUAGGAUAUAAUGGAUAAGAACACUAUUUUGAACGGAAAGUUCAGCUACAAAGCCUUGCCAGAUGGCUCUCUUGACAGGACAAAAGUCAUUUGUGUUUCCUGUCGAGCUGAAUUUAGUUACCACCGGAGUACGUCUAGUCUCAAAUACCACUUGUCGGACAAGUACACAGCUGAUGCAGUGAGCCCCCCCCCGCGCAUACGGAUCGCAUCAAAUGACUGGACAUAUGAAUUACCUUGUAGGACCACCAUUACCAUGAAAAUCCACGAUCUGUCCUCAUGUUGAUUCUUAUGUUGAUAAAAGUAUAACAAUUUGAAAAAGAUCGAUUUAGAAUGGAUCAAAAAUAUGCGAUCAAUUUGCGAUUAAUCAUGAUUAAUUAUGAUCACAAUUCGAUUAAUCGCGAUUAAAUAUUUUAAUCGAUUCACAGCCCUAAUAUAUAUAUAUACAGUAUGUGUAUAUAUAUAUAUAUAUAUAUAUAUAUAUAUAUAUAUAUACUGUUCAUAUCUGCAGUAUACUAUAUACUGUAGAUAUACUGUAGGCUACUGCUCUUCACACCAACAGGAAGACCGACUGAUCAAACUCGGACCAGAAAAGCGUUUUCAACUACCCCUGCCGCUGCCGCCGCCGAUCGGUGCCUCCGCGUCUUAACUUGCGUUACACAUUUCCGGUCCUGUCUCAUCUGGAUGCAUGCAGCUGCCUCAGUAAGAGAAGUAGCUCGAUCACGUAAUGUGCACUGCUGUUUAUUCUACUGUUACUGGCACGGCUAACAGUGUAGCAAGGCUAAUAGCAGAUGGCUAACUCUAACUUUAGCUUGCAUAUUACAUGGUGCUUCAUCGUUAACUCAGCGUGACCGAGACCAGCACAGCGGGGAACAUCGUGAAGUGGGUUGAACUGAAACCUGUUGACUUAUUGUGUAUUUCACAAACUGGUUUAUUUACCGUUGAGGCGGACCACUCUCCUCCGUGCGUCCCUGAGCUGUCUGCUUCAGAUCCGUCACUCUGCUGUGAGGUAGUUAGUGGAUGACGAUUGUCAUGAGGUCGCUGCGCCAUCUACAGGAUAAGUCGGGGAACUUUUCAAAUGGCGGAACAUUUUCGAAGUGAAACCGAAUCUUAUUCUCCGCAUUUUAUUUCUGAAAAUAUCGACGAAAAUCUGCAAGUUUUGGCCGAUUACCAAUUAGUCUCAAAUGGG
Molecule: non-coding RNA, 14974 nt
Organism: Xyrichtys novacula (pearly razorfish)
Lineage: Eukaryota; Metazoa; Chordata; Actinopteri; Labriformes; Labridae
Source: the annotation of a GenBank genome assembly